Molecule: long non-coding RNA, 420 nt
Filed under: Vigna radiata
Lineage: Eukaryota; Viridiplantae; Streptophyta; Magnoliopsida; Fabales; Fabaceae
Description: long non-coding RNA (VRAD_LNC018506)
Source: RNAcentral
GGGAAAUAGCAAAACUUACAAUGGAGGUUCGUGAAGAUGAUGAACUUUGAUGUGAUUUGAUGCUGAGAAAUGAAGUUGAGGGUCUUGUGAGAGAAUGAGAUGUGGCUCGAGAAUGAUGCUUCGAGAGAUAAAUGAAUAUGUGGCAAGGAAGCGUGAAUUGGAACACUGACAUAGCAAAAAGCAUUUGUUGAUUGGGAGAAAUUUGUUGUAGUGGAGGACAGAGAAUCUGAUAUGGAAGACAAGUGGAAAAUGGAAAAUGAGAGAAAAUGAAGGUGUGCUUGACAGGUGGCUAGAGGAGGAUCCCUAUGAUUCUCUAGCCUUGACUUUCAAGGAGGAAUUAUUUCUAGAGUUCAGAAAAUCAAUUUCUCAUUUGUCUCAAAAUUGAAUAUUCAGUGGUGCAGCUGAGUAUUUAUAGUGACC